CCUACGGGAGGCAGCAGUGCGGAAUUUUAGAUAAUGGAGGCAACUCUGAUCUAGCGACGCCGCGUGCAGGAAGAAGGUCUUCGGAUUGUAAACUGCUGUGGUAAGGGAAAAAUGCCAUGUAGAGUGGAAAGCUACAUGGAGGGAUGGUACUUUACUAGAAAGCCCCGGCUAACUACGUGCCAGCAGCCGCGGUAAUACGUAGGGGGCGAGCGUUACCCGGAAUCACUGGGCGUAAAGGGAGCGUAGGUGGCCUGACAUGUCGACUGUGAAAACCCGGAGCUCAACUCCGGACUUGCAGUUGAAACUGCCAGGCUUGAGGACGGUAGAGGAAGACGGAACUGCCAGUGUAGGGGUAAAAUCCUUAGAUAUUGGCAGGAACGCCGGUGACGAAGGCGGUUUUCUGGGCCGGUUCUGACACUGAUGCUCGAAAGCCAGGGGAGCGAACGGGAUUAGAUACCCCGGUAGUCCUGGCCCUAAACGAUGUUCACUAGGUGUGGGGAGCGGAAAGCUUUCCGUGCUAAAGC
This 524-nucleotide ribosomal RNA is filed under the name uncultured Thermotogales bacterium. Its description in RNAcentral is "bacterial SSU rRNA". It matches the Rfam family "Bacterial small subunit ribosomal RNA", at positions 338 to 852 of the family's 1533-position model. Lineage: Bacteria; Thermotogati; Thermotogota; Thermotogae; Thermotogales. The record is from RNAcentral.